GAUGAACGCUGACAGAAUGCUUAACACAUGCAAGUCAACUUGAAUUUGGGUUUUUAACUUAGGUUUGGGUGGCGGACGGGUGAGUAACGCGUAAAGAACUUGCCUCACAGCUAGGGACAACAUUUGGAAACGAAUGCUAAUACCUAAUAUUAUGAUAAUAGGGCAUCCUAUAAUUAUGAAAGCUAUAAGCGCUGUGAGAGAGCUUUGCGUCCCAUUAGCUAGUUGGAGAGGUAACGGCUCACCAAGGCGAUGAUGGGUAGCCGGCCUGAGAGGGUGAUCGGCCACAAGGGGACUGAGACACGGCCCUUACUCCUACGGGAGGCAGCAGUGGGUAAUAUUGGACAAUGGACCAAGAGUCUGAUCCAGCAAUUCUGUGUGCACGAUGAAGUUUUUCGGAAUGUAAAGUGCUUUCAGUUGGGAAGAAAGAAAUGACGGUACCAACAGAAGAAGUGACGGCUAAAUACGUG
RNAcentral lists this ribosomal RNA (467 nucleotides) under uncultured bacterium. Its description in RNAcentral is "partial 16S ribosomal RNA". It matches the Rfam family "Bacterial small subunit ribosomal RNA", at positions 28 to 507 of the family's 1533-position model. The record is from RNAcentral.